This 640-nucleotide ribosomal RNA is filed under the name uncultured bacterium. RNAcentral's name for it is "bacterial SSU rRNA". It matches the Rfam family "Bacterial small subunit ribosomal RNA", at positions 97 to 723 of the family's 1533-position model. The record is from RNAcentral.
GGCGGACGGGUGAGUAACACGUGGGCAACCUGCCUGUAAGACUGGGAUAACUUCGGGAAACCGGAGCUAAUACCGGAUAAUUCUUUUCUACACAUGUAGAAAAGCUGAAAGACGGCUUCGGCUGUCACUUACAGAUGGGCCCGCGGCGCAUUAGCUAGUUGGUGAGGUAACGGCUCACCAAGGCAACGAUGCGUAGCCGACCUGAGAGGGUGAUCGGCCACACUGGGACUGAGACACGGCCCAGACUCCUACGGGAGGCAGCAGUAGGGAAUCUUCCGCAAUGGACGAAAGUCUGACGGAGCAACGCCGCGUGAGUGAUGAAGGUUUUCGGAUCGUAAAACUCUGUUGUUAGGGAAGAACAAGUACGAGAGUAACUGCUCGUACCUUGACGGUACCUAACCAGAAAGCCACGGCUAACUACGUGCCAGCAGCCGCGGUAAUACGUAGGUGGCAAGCGUUGUCCGGAAUUAUUGGGCGUAAAGCGCGCGCAGGCGGUUCCUUAAGUCUGAUGUGAAAGCCCACGGCUCAACCGUGGAGGGUCAUUGGAAACUGGGGAACUUGAGUGCAGGAGAGAAGAGUGGAAUUCCACGUGUAGCGGUGAAAUGCGUAGAGAUGUGGAGGAACACCAGUGGCGAAGGCG